AGAGUUUGAUCCUGCUCAGACGAACGCUGGCGGCGUGCUUAACACAUGCAAGUCGAGCGAGGCCGACCUUUCGGGUGGUGUCCUAGCGGCGAACAGGUGAGUAACACGUGGGCAACCUGCCCUCAGCUCUGGGAUAACUCCGGGAAACCGGGGCUAAUACCGGAUAUGACCCUGUGAAGCAUUUCGUGGGUGGAAAGUUUUUCGGCUGAGGAUGGGCCCGCGGCCUAUCAGCUUGUUGUGGGGUGAUGGCCUACCAAGGCGACGACGGGUAGCCGGCCUGAGAGGGCGACCGGCCACACUGGGACUGAGACACGGCCCAGACUCCUACGGGAGGCAGCAGUGGGGAAUAUUGCGCAAUGGGCGAAAGCCUGACGCAGCAACGCCGCGUGAGGGACGAAGGCCUUCGGGUUGUAAACCUCUUUCAGCAGGGACGAAGCGAAAGUGACGGUACCUGCAGAAGAAGCACCGGCCAACUACGUG
Molecule: ribosomal RNA, 480 nt
Filed under: uncultured Actinomycetales bacterium
Lineage: Bacteria; Bacillati; Actinomycetota; Actinomycetes; Actinomycetales
Description: bacterial SSU rRNA
Rfam family: Bacterial small subunit ribosomal RNA
Source: RNAcentral